Molecule: ribosomal RNA, 252 nt
Filed under: uncultured bacterium
Lineage: Bacteria
Description: partial 16S ribosomal RNA
Rfam family: Bacterial small subunit ribosomal RNA
Source: RNAcentral
UACGAAGGGGGCUAGCGUUGCUCGGAAUCACUGGGCGUAAAGGGUGCGUAGGCGGGUCUUAAGUCAGGGGUGAAAUCCUGGAGCUCAACUCCAGAACUGCCUUUGAUACUGGGUAUCUUGAGUAUGGAAGAGGUAAGUGGAAUUGCGAGUGUAGAGGUGAAAUUCGUAGAUAUUCGCAGGAACACCAGUGGCGAAGGCGGCUUACUGGUCCAUAACUGACGCUGAGGUGCGAAAGCGUGGGGAGCAAACAGG